UCCUCGUUUAGACGAGGCAGUCUGUCCAGAGUGCUUCCUGCUCUCGCAGGAGUGGCAACAGGACACAAGGGUUGCGCUCGUUGCGGGACUUAACCCAACAUCUCACGACACGAGCUGACGACAGCCAUGCAGCACCUGUGCAAGCUCCCCUUGCGGGGUCGUUACCCUUUCGGGCUUCUACCACCUGCAUGUCAAGGCCAGGUAAGGUUCUUCGCGUUGCAUCGAAUUAAGCCACAUACUCCACCGCUUGUGCAGGCCCCCGUCAAUUUCUUUGAGUUUUAAUCUUGCGACCGUACUCCCCAGGCGGCACAUUUAACGCGUUUGCUACGCCACGAAAGGGGUCGAAUCCUCUCACAGCAAAUGUGCACCGUUUACGGCUAGGACUAC
This 387-nucleotide unclassified non-coding RNA is filed under the name uncultured Verrucomicrobiae bacterium. RNAcentral describes it as "contains 16S-23S intergenic spacer region". The record is from RNAcentral. Lineage: Bacteria; Pseudomonadati; Verrucomicrobiota; Verrucomicrobiia.